RNAcentral lists this ribosomal RNA (389 nucleotides) under uncultured bacterium. RNAcentral describes it as "bacterial SSU rRNA". It matches the Rfam family "Bacterial small subunit ribosomal RNA", at positions 29 to 416 of the family's 1533-position model. The record is from RNAcentral.
AUUGAACGCUGGCGGCAUGCUUUACACAUGCAAGUCGAACGGCAGCACAGGGAGCUUGCUCCCGGGUGGCGAGUGGCGCACGGGUGAGUAAUACAUCGGAACGUGUCCUGUUGUGGGGGAUAACUGCUCGAAAGGGUGGCUAAUACCGCAUGAGACCUGAGGGUGAAAGCGGGGGAUCGCAAGACCUCGCGCAAUUGGAGCGGCCGAUGCCCGAUUAGCUAGUUGGUGGGGUAAAGGCUCACCAAGGCGACGAUCGGUAGCUGGUCUGAGAGGACGACCAGCCACACUGGGACUGAGACACGGCCCAGACUCCUACGGGAGGCAGCAGUGGGAAUUUUGGACAAUGGGGGCAACCCUGAUCCAGCCAUGCCGCGUGCAGGAUGAAGGCC